This is a long non-coding RNA of Brassica napus (rape), 513 nucleotides long. RefSeq lists it as uncharacterized. The record is from RefSeq and is a predicted model, not a curated record. NCBI's taxonomy places the organism in Eukaryota, Viridiplantae, Streptophyta, Magnoliopsida, Brassicales, Brassicaceae. The transcript has 2 exons.
GAGAUUCUUAGACUUUCACUCAAAAAAACCGAUGUCUUAGAUCUCUUAACUUCCACAAGAACAACAGGACAACCUGUUGUAGAUGAUUGGGACUGCUACAAGACUCUGGUUAAAAGUUUCAAGAAUCAAUGUGGAGCAAAGAUGGAAUACGAUAUGAAGUAUGCAGGAGCACUUGCCAAUAUCUGCAAUAUGGGAGUGGAUGUGAAGAAAAGUGUUGCAGCUAUUGAAGAAGCUUGUGCCCAUUAAAUUAUAUGCAAAAAAUAAUAUUGUGAUCGCCUUAUAAAUAUGAAAGUUAUUGCAUAACAUUUGAUUGUGUGGAGAUGGUUGAUGCCUAUUUUACUUGAUAACGCGAAAGUCUUGGUCUUAAAUUGGAUUCAUAGUAUAAUAACCUCGUACCAAUUCUAGUUUCAAGAAUUCACGCGAAAGUCUUGGUCUUAAAUUGGAGAAUGAGUAAGUGAUCGGAUAAGGCUCGGCGGCACUCGAGUCAACAUCUCGUAUUCACGUGUUAUGCUU